Molecule: ribosomal RNA, 468 nt
Filed under: uncultured bacterium
Lineage: Bacteria
Description: partial 16S ribosomal RNA
Rfam family: Bacterial small subunit ribosomal RNA
Source: RNAcentral
GACGAACGCUGGCGGCGUGCUUAACACAUGCAAGUCGAACGGAAAGGCCCUGCUUUUGUGGGGUGCUCGAGUGGCGAAAGGGUGCGUAACAGGUGAGUAACCUGCUCUUGACUUUGGGAUAACUUCAGGAAACUGGGGCUAAUACCGGAUAGGAGCUCCUGUUGCAUGGUGGGGGUUGGAACGUUUCGGCGGUUGGGGAUGGACUCGCGGCUUAGCAGCUUGUUGGUGGGGUAGUGGCUUACCAAGGCUUUGACGGGUAGCCGGCCUGAGAGGGUGACCGGCCACAUUGGGACUGAGGUACGGCCCAGACUCCUACGGGGGGCAGCAGUGGGGAAUAUUGCACAAUGGGCGGAAGCCUGAUGCAGCAACGCCGCGUGCGGGAUGACGGCCUUCGGGUUGUAAACCGCUUUCGCCUGUGACGAAGCGUGAGUGACGGUAAUGGGUAAAGAAGCACCGGCUAACUACGUG